GCAGGGCUGGCGGAAAUGGUAGACGCACUAUCUUGAGGGGGUAGCGAUUGAAAAAUCAUGUGAGUUCGAAUCUCAUGCCCUGCACCA
This 87-nucleotide transfer RNA is filed under the name Clostridiales bacterium. RNAcentral's name for it is "tRNA-Leu". It matches the Rfam family "tRNA". Rfam says of the family: Transfer RNA (tRNA) molecules are approximately 80 nucleotides in length. Their secondary structure includes four short double-helical elements and three loops (D, anti-codon, and T loops). Lineage: Bacteria; Bacillati; Bacillota; Clostridia; Eubacteriales. The record is from RNAcentral. RNAcentral also lists the same sequence under 1 other name.